CCUACGGGUGGCAGCAGUGGGGAAUAUUGCACAAUGGGGGAAACCCUGAUGCAGCGACGCCGCGUGAGUGAAGAAGUAUUUCGGUAUGUAAAGCUCUAUCAGCAGGGAAGAUAAUGACGGUACCUGACUAAGAAGCCCCGGCUAACUACGUGCCAGCAGCCGCGGUAAUACGUAGGGGGCAAGCGUUAUCCGGAUUUACUGGGUGUAAAGGGAGCGUAGGUGGCAGGGCAAGUCAGAUGUGAAAACCCGGGGCUCAACCCCGGGAGUGCAUUUGAAACUGUCCAGCUGGAGUGCAGGAGAGGUAAGCGGAAUUCCUAGUGUAGCGGUGAAAUGCAUAGAUAUCGCGCAGAACUCCGAUUGCGAAGGCAGCAUGCCGGCUCCACACUGACGCUGAGGCACGAAAGCGUGGGUAUCGAACAGGAUUAGAUACCCGUGUAGUC
Molecule: ribosomal RNA, 440 nt
Filed under: uncultured bacterium
Lineage: Bacteria
Description: partial 16S ribosomal RNA
Rfam family: Bacterial small subunit ribosomal RNA
Source: RNAcentral